UACGAAGGGGGCUAGCGUUGCUCGGAAUCACUGGGCGUAAAGGGUGCGUAGGCGGGUCUUUAAGUCAGAGGUGAAAUCCCAAGGCUCAACCUUGGAACUGCCUUUGAUACUGGGGAUCUCGAGUCCGGGAGAGGUGAGUGGAACUGCGAGUGUAGAGGUGAAAUUCGUAGAUAUUCGCAAGAACACCAGUGGCGAAGGCGGCUCACUGGCCCGGUACUGACGCUGAGGAGCGAAAGCGUGGGGAGCAAACAGG
This 253-nucleotide ribosomal RNA is filed under the name uncultured bacterium. RNAcentral describes it as "partial 16S ribosomal RNA". It matches the Rfam family "Bacterial small subunit ribosomal RNA", at positions 524 to 776 of the family's 1533-position model. The record is from RNAcentral.